UUAAAAUAAAAGGAUUUCUGGAUUUUGUAAAAUAAAAGGUUUUCUACCCCUCGUGGUAGCGUUUUUAAAAGAUAAAAAUUUUCGUGUAGGGAACAGUUUUUAAAAGAUUUUCUGUGACUUUUGUAUCUUAGUAUUUCAAAACCUGUUUCUGUGGUUGGGAACAUUUUAACUAAUAGAUGUGAAUCUGUGGUGAAUGGUGUAUGAAUAUAUAUAACGGUUGGUUAUUUGUAUGUUCAUUUGUUGUGGUUGUGCCAGGGUGACUUCUUAUACUUGUGUGACGUCGUGCAAAUACAGGGGAGACUCUGACCGUGUGAACAGUGAAUUUUCUGUAUUUGUGUAAGGACUGAGAUUUUUGCAGUGUAGCUAAACUCUCAGUUGACGAUGUUUUUGUGUAUAAUUUAAUUACAAAAGCACUCGUCAAAUUUCGGGGGAAAACGAGUUAAAACG
RNAcentral lists this long non-coding RNA (447 nucleotides) under Ananas comosus (pineapple). RNAcentral describes it as "long non-coding RNA (ACOM_LNC041294)". The record is from RNAcentral. Lineage: Eukaryota; Viridiplantae; Streptophyta; Magnoliopsida; Poales; Bromeliaceae.